This 62-nucleotide ribosomal RNA is filed under the name Thermodesulfovibrio sp. RBG_19FT_COMBO_41_18. RNAcentral describes it as "partial 23S ribosomal RNA". Lineage: Bacteria; Pseudomonadati; Nitrospirota; Thermodesulfovibrionia; Thermodesulfovibrionales; Thermodesulfovibrionaceae. The record is from RNAcentral.
GAGGUGUAAGUGCAGUAAUGCAUUCAGCUGACCAGUACUAAUAGACCGUGCGACUUGACCCU